AUGAAUUUUCAUGUGCAGAUUUUCAGCUUCAUGCUUAUCAGUGUCACAGUCAUAGGGUCCAGUGGAGAAAUUGGGCUCAUUCAGUCUUCAACAAUCAUGGCUGCAUCUCCAGGGGAGAAGGUCACUAUCACCUGCAGUGUCAGCUCAAGUGUAAGUUCCAGCUACUAGCACUGGUACCAGCAGAAGUCAGGAGCCUCCCCCAAACUCUGGAUUUAUGGCUCAUUCAACCUGGCUUCUGAAGUUUCAGCUCACUUCAGUGGUAGUGGGUCUGGGACCUCUUACUCUCUCACAAUCAGCAGCAUGGAGGCUGAAGAUGCUGCCACUUAUUACUGCCAGCAGGUUACUUGUUCCCUACCCA
This is a non-coding RNA of Mus musculus (house mouse), 358 nucleotides long. The record is from the annotation of a RefSeq genome assembly. Lineage: Eukaryota; Metazoa; Chordata; Mammalia; Rodentia; Muridae.